This 362-nucleotide ribosomal RNA is filed under the name uncultured bacterium. RNAcentral's name for it is "bacterial SSU rRNA". It matches the Rfam family "Bacterial small subunit ribosomal RNA", at positions 28 to 416 of the family's 1533-position model. The record is from RNAcentral.
GACGAACGCUGGCGGCGUGCCUAAUACAUGCAAGUCGAACGAGGUCUUCGGACCUAGUGGCGAACGGGUGAGUAACACGUUGGUACCUACCCCGAAGUGGGAAUAACUGGCCGAAAGGUCGGCUAAUACCGCAUAAUACCGCAAGGUUAAAGCAGUAAUGCGCUUCGGGAGGGGCCUGCGUCCCAUUAGCUAGUUGGUGAGGUAAUUGCUCACCAAGGCAACGAUGGGUAGCUGGAUCGAGAGGUUGACCAGCCACACUGGGACUGAGAUACGGCCCAGACUCCUACGGGAGGCAGCAGUAAGGAAUCUUCCACAAUGGGCGAAAGCCUGACGCAGGCGACGCCGCGUGAGGGAUGACGCCU